Molecule: ribosomal RNA, 468 nt
Filed under: uncultured bacterium
Lineage: Bacteria
Description: partial 16S ribosomal RNA
Rfam family: Bacterial small subunit ribosomal RNA
Source: RNAcentral
GACGAACGCUGGCGGCGUGCUUAACACAUGCAAGUCGAACGGAAAGGCCCUGCUUUUGUGGGGUGCUCGAGUGGCGAACGGGUGAGUAACACGUGAGUAACCUGCCCUUGACUUUGGGAUAACUUCAGGAAACUGGGGCUAAUACCGGAUAGGAGCUCCUGCUGCAUGGUGGGGGUUGGAAAGUUUCGGCGGUUGGGGAUGGACUCGCGGCUUAUCAGCUUGUUGGUGGGGUAGUGGCUUACCAAGGCUUUGACGGGUAGCCGGCCUGAGAGGGUGACCGGCCACAUUGGGACUGAGAUAAGGCACAGACUACUACGGGAGGCAACAGUGGGGAAUAUUGCACAAUGGGCGGAAGCCUGAUGCAGCAACGCCGCGUGCGGGAUGACGGCCUUCGGGUUGUAAACCGCUUUCGCCUGUGACGAAGCGUGAGUGACGGUAAUGGGUAAAGAAGCACCGGCUAACUACGUG